GGCAAACGGGUGAGUAUAAUGUGGGAAUCUGCCUUUUGGUUUGGAAUAACACGGGGAAACUUGUGCUAAUACCGGAUAAGCCCUUACGGGGAAAGUUUUAACGCCGAAAGAUGAGCCUGCACUUGAUUAGCUAGUUGGUAAGGUAAAGGCUUACCAAGGCAACGAUCAAUAGCUGUUCUUAGAGGAAGACCAGCCACAUUGGGACUGAGACACGGCCCAGACUCCUACGGGAGGCAGCAGUGGGGAAUCUUGCACAAUGGGGGAAACCCUGAUGCAGCGAUGCCGCGUGAGUGAAGAAGGCCCUUGGGUUGUAAAACUCUUUCGUCGGGGAAGAAAAUGACUGUACCCGAAUAAGAAGGUCCGGCUAACUUCGUGCCAGCAGCCGCGGUAAUACGAAGGGACCUAGCGUAGUUCGGAAUUACUGGGCUUAAAGAGCUCGUAGGUGGUUAAAAAAGUUGAUGGUGAAAUCCCAAGGCUCAACCUUGGAACUGCCAUCAAAACUUUUUAGCUAGAGUGUGAUAGAGGUAAGUGGAAUUUCUAGUGUAGAGGUGAAAUUCGUAGAUAUUAGAAAGAACACCAAAUGCGAAGGCAACUUACUGGGUCACUACUGACACUGAGGAGCGAAAGCAUGGGUAGCGAAGAGGAUUAGAUACCCUCGUAGUCCAUGCCGUAAACGAUGUGUGCUAGACGUUGGAAAUAUAUUUUUCAGUGUCGCAGCGAAAGCAUUAAGCACAC
RNAcentral lists this ribosomal RNA (735 nucleotides) under uncultured marine bacterium. RNAcentral describes it as "bacterial SSU rRNA". It matches the Rfam family "Bacterial small subunit ribosomal RNA", at positions 97 to 869 of the family's 1533-position model. The record is from RNAcentral.